ACGCGAAAGAGGAUCGCAGAGAGGGUUACAAGGCUUUUAAGGGGUCAAUUGGGGCUCCCUUUAUCAAAUCCCAUGGAAACCCGGGUUGGGGCUCGGUCCCGAGCAGAGUACGUUCUGCUCGCGAGUUGGGGAAGAAGAAGGAAAGGAGAUCAUGAUGCUAACGCGUAGGACCUACCUGUCGGCGAGUUUGUACGCGGGGCCGAGGUGUCAGCCGGAGGAAAAGGAGGAGAGGGGAGGGUGCAUGCGACCUGGGCCCUAGGCCGUCCUGCUGGGCUGGCUCUGAGAAGCUGGGCCAAGGAAAAAGAAAGGCAGGCCGCGGGAGAGCUGGGUUGGGCGCUUGCCCGCGGCGUGAAGAAGAGAGGAGGAAGGUUUGGCUGGUCUUCUGCUGGGCCAAGAUAGAGCAAAGGAGAUUUUCUUCUUUCUCUAUUUUAUUUUUUUGUUUAUUUAUUUUUAAACUAUUUUCAAAUCAGUUUGAAACAAUUUUGAACCUUGCUCAAAAUCACACAGUACAAAAGUACAAAUACUCUAGCAUGAAUGCACAUCCAUGUUGCUAAGUUCUAUGAUAACUUUUAUUUUAAUGAAAAAAUUUCCUAUGUUUCAUGAGCACAAAAAUACAAAAUUAAAUUAAAUUCUCCUAUUCUAAAUACUUGCAAUCUUUAGGGUGUUACAUAUAUAGACUCAAUAAUCCCUCAGGUAUAAUUACCUGAUAACUAGGGGAUGCUCCUCCUCCAAGCUGGAUGUUUGCAAUACUUUGUGUAGAUGUCCUUUAGAGCAAGCUAGCUAGUGCCAACCUGGUAGGUGCCACCGGUAGACUCUCUCCUUGUUAUGAUAUUAUUCCUGCAUAGUCAUACUCCAACAAGAAAACCAAAACUCAGCCAAUGAGCAAUUGAUUAUUCUUAUGAGCUAAAUUUGAUGUUGUCUGAUUUAAGCAGGAUUUCACUUUUCUCUUCUUCCAUUUUUUGAAUUUUCCAUUUAUGAUGCAGAAAUUAAAUAUAAAUGCUAUAUAAUUUUUUAUGCCACCACAGUAAAUAUUCACAAGGGGUUACCAUAAGUUUAUUCACAUGGGA
Molecule: long non-coding RNA, 1067 nt
Filed under: Sorghum bicolor (sorghum)
Lineage: Eukaryota; Viridiplantae; Streptophyta; Magnoliopsida; Poales; Poaceae
Description: long non-coding RNA (SBIC_LNC012825)
Source: RNAcentral